GCGCCCAUAGCUCAACAGGAUAGAGCAUCAGCCUUCUAAGCUGAGGGUUAGUGGUUCGAGUCCACUUGGGCGUACUA
This 77-nucleotide transfer RNA is filed under the name Ignavibacteria bacterium. RNAcentral's name for it is "tRNA-Arg". It matches the Rfam family "tRNA". Rfam says of the family: Transfer RNA (tRNA) molecules are approximately 80 nucleotides in length. The record is from RNAcentral. Lineage: Bacteria; Pseudomonadati; Ignavibacteriota; Ignavibacteria.